This is a microRNA precursor of Nicotiana attenuata, 96 nucleotides long. It matches the Rfam family "MIR6152 microRNA precursor family". The record is from Rfam. Lineage: Eukaryota; Viridiplantae; Streptophyta; Magnoliopsida; Solanales; Solanaceae.
UGGACAGAUUAUUGUAUUCGACUGUAUUCACGGCGUGAAACAGGGGAUUACAUUGUUUUUAAACGGAAAGUGAAUCAAUUAACAUAAUAGACUCCU